GACGGAGGAUGCAAGUGUUAUCCGGAAUCACUGGGCGUAAAGCGUCUGUAGGUGGUCAAAUAAGUCAACUGUUAAAUCUUGAGGCUCAACCUCAAAAUCGCAGUCGAAACUAUUAGACUAGAGUAUAGUAGGGGUAAAGGGAAUUUCCAGUGGAGCGGUGAAAUGCGCAGAUAUCAGGAGGAACACCGGUGGCGAAGGCGGGUCUCUGGGCAACAACUGACGCUGAGGAGCGAAAGCGUGGGGAGCGAACAGG
Molecule: ribosomal RNA, 253 nt
Filed under: uncultured bacterium
Lineage: Bacteria
Description: partial 16S ribosomal RNA
Rfam family: Bacterial small subunit ribosomal RNA
Source: RNAcentral